GAAAUGCGAUAAGUAAUGUGAAUUGCAGAAUUCAGUGAAUCAUCGAAUCUUUGAACGCACAUUGCGCCCGCCAGAAUACUGGCGGGCAUGCCUGUUCGAGCGUCAUUUCAACCACUCAGGCCCUGGUGCCUGGCGUCGGGGCUUCUUAUAGAUCCCCUAGAAUCAGUGGCGGACCCGCCGCGGCUCCGAGCGUAGUAGUAAAAUAUCUCGCUAUGGAGGCCCGUGGGGGGCUUACCGGCCGUAAAAGCUUUCUCUCACUAGAAAAUUCUCAAGGUUGACCUCGGAUCAGGUAGGAAUACCCGCUGAACUUAA
Molecule: unclassified non-coding RNA, 312 nt
Filed under: uncultured Halosphaeriaceae
Lineage: Eukaryota; Fungi; Ascomycota; Sordariomycetes; Microascales; Halosphaeriaceae
Description: sequence contains ITS1
Rfam family: 5.8S ribosomal RNA (bases 1-105)
Source: RNAcentral